UGUCGUGUUAUUUUGAAAUCAACUGUGGUUUUUGAAAACGCGCCCUAAAGCUAUCCAAUUUCAACAGUUAAAAUAAGUAUUACCUAUCUUAGUAAUACAUAUUAAAACCAUAAAAAAUAAUUAAGCGGCCUUAUUACAUUUAAAAGCCCAAAAACUUCAACGUAAAUAAAAGGAUGUCCAGUUCACCAGAAGAAAAUCAAACUUUCAAAACGGGUGGCCACUCCGAAUUCCCUCACAGCUCCAAGCCCACUAUGGUUGGGGAUUUCCUGCGUGGAUGAAAAUAAAAGGGGUGAGUUUGGGGAAACUCAGUGUGUAAGGAAAACCCAUUCAAAGCCCAAGUCAGCUCAAGCCCAUUGGGCCUAAGCCCAUUCAGGUAACAGUGAUACUGGGCCAGAGCCCUUUUCAGAUUACAAUAAACUGGGCCUUAGCCCCUUAUUCAGAUAACAGUAUGGCCCAUAGGCCCAUUUCAAAAUAUAUGCAACAUCAAUAAACAUAUGCAAGCCCAUUUGGGGAGACUACUCAACCCACCAACCACUACACUCCACUCGUACCAACCAUACACUUCAUGUGAGGAAUAGCUCAACCCACCCAACCCAAGACUCCACAGUUGCAGCCUUGCUGCUCAGUUAACAGUAAAUUGAGGCAAAGCCUCCAGUAUGUGGACAAGCCAUUUUCAGUACUUCCUCCGUCAAUAUCCCAAUCCCAUGCAUCAGAUAAUAAAAACAUGGCAUGCAGUAAAUAAAAACAGUCAAACAUGCAUUUAGGUCAAUUUAACCCUAGGGGUAUUUCAGUAAUUUAUCUACUAGGGGUAAAACUGUAAAUUUUCCACUUUUAAAGGUAUUUCAGUAAUUUAUCUAUUUUAGGGUUUUUCAUGCAUAUUCCUACUUUUCACGUACUAACAGAAUCACGUACCGAGGGUUCUUACCGAAUUGGGCCCGUUGGACCAUCAUUCCAAUUUUGGCCCAUUAAGCCCAAAAAUAUCGAGGGCACAGAAAUCAUGCACUUUGCAGUCCAAACAUUGUAGCUUACAAAAAACAUUAAUCGAUUUACCUCACGAGCACUCGCACACUCGCAAAUCUACAAAAUACCGGUUUUCGGCAUUUCGGCUUUUCGGCUUUUGCCGAUCUAGACUAAGAAAGAGGGUGUUAGUUACACACCUGUUUGCGACGAUAUGCUGACGAUAUCCACACACGAACCGCCUACAAUUGGAUUACUAACACGUUAAUCUAACUAUUCAAAUACAAACUACGUAUUAACCCCUUACAAUAUUCGGCCAACCACACCUGUAGAUCAUAGUAAGCUUAUAAGAAAUCAAUAAGCAACUCAUUAACAAAUUUUUUGUCAAUGUUUACCACAUAAUCAUAAUUUCACUGCAAGCUGUCUUCCUGAGCAACAGUCACUAAAUUAUUUAUAACUGGAGCUAUAAAACUCCAAAUCAAGUGCCGUUAAUUUUCCCUGAAAAUAGACUCAUAUAUCUUAUAUCCAUAAAAUUUUCAGAAUUUUUGGUUUGGCCAAUCAAUACCAGAUUUUUCUCAAAAUUUCGCAUGUUUCACUGUUUGACUAAUCUGACCACUCUUCAUUACGAAUCAAAUUUCUCAUUGUACAGAAUUCAAAAUAUGUUCUUGUUUAUUUCAUUAGAAACUAGACUCAAUAAGCUUUAAUUACAUAAUUUAUUCCGCUUCUAAUUCAUCUCCCACAAUUUAUGGUGAUUUUCCAAAUUCACAUUACUGCUGCUGUCCCAAGCAGAUUUUUUACCAAAUCACUCUUUCACACAUACCUUGCAUGCAUGUUAUUUAAACAUGUAUAUCACCAAUCAAUCAUCACAUAUCUAUGAUUUUUCUUAAGUAUAAUCUCCAUUUCAUCAUUUUAAAGCACAACGUGUUAGCUGAUUUUUCCCUUUAACAUCUAAGGCACAUGCAUGCUCAUUUGUUUGGCUCAACUUUACCUAUCUUCCAAUUUUCAUCAAAAGAACAUGAAACAACAACUAUUUCCUUCAUUUUAACACAACUAAAAAUCAAAAUAUACUUCAAGAGUUAAGGUAGAAUCAAGAAGAACUCAUGAACCUCAAAAUAGAAACAAGGUACCAAUAACUUACCUUCAAUUUUCCUCCUCCUAAUGGCCGAAUACUCAAGAGCUUUCUCCUCUCCUUUCUCUUCUCUAACUUUCAGCUAUGAUGAACAAAGAUGGACAAAACUUUGUUCUUUUCACCCC
RNAcentral lists this long non-coding RNA (2211 nucleotides) under Gossypium barbadense (sea-island cotton). RNAcentral's name for it is "long non-coding RNA (GBAR_LNC011773)". Lineage: Eukaryota; Viridiplantae; Streptophyta; Magnoliopsida; Malvales; Malvaceae. The record is from RNAcentral.